This 836-nucleotide long non-coding RNA is filed under the name Equus asinus (donkey). RNAcentral describes it as "lncRNA (ENSEASG00005035890.1)". Lineage: Eukaryota; Metazoa; Chordata; Mammalia; Perissodactyla; Equidae. The record is from RNAcentral.
AUUCAUUCAUUCUUUCAUUCAUUCGUUUAGCAACUAUUUCUUAAGCGCCUUAUUUUGGGAAGCGUUGUGCUUGGCACGAUGAAAUGAUACCAAAGACGCAUGAUGCGCAAGCUACUUUUGAGCACCAGGACUUUGCUGCUGCGGGCCGGUGAAUUCAGAGAAGGCUUUCACGGAGGAGCUGGGAUGAGAGCAGGAUCUUGAAAGAAGCCAAGGGGUCUUGUGAUGGUGUCUCAAAACUUGAGUAGCAGCUGAGGAUAUGAAGGCAAGGAUCUGCCUGGAGAUGUCAGCCCCAAAUGUACUCAGCACAUUAAUUACUCAGUUGAAUUGGAGCAUGGUCUUCCCCAAGGAGAUGGAAAGACAAUGGUCCUGCUGGGUUGAUGGACUGAAGAAAGAACAAGGCUUCACUUUACCUUCCCAGCUUCCUUAUCGGCUUCCCAGGAAUGACGCACAUUCUCUGUCUCAUCCUCCUCAAAAGGAGAAGCCCUUUUUCAUAUAGAAGAAGAAAAAAGAUAAAUUACUGAUUUUUAUUUAACUAUUUCUAUCAAAAUUAAAUAUGCACAUAGUUUAAAGAAUCGAAUGGUUCUACAUUACUAAAUAGCAGCCCCCUGCCCCCACGCCAUUUCUCACUCCUCAGAGGAGAUCACUUCCAAUGCUCUAACUAAUCCUUUUUGUUCUUUUGGAAUCACUGUAUCUCUAAACAGCGACUUCCUAAUUUUAUCUAAUCCCUUUCUACUGUGGAAAAUGGGGAUUUAGCUUUCACCCCUUCCGUUACCACACACAUACAUUUCCUGGGCUUAUAUACCUAUAUCAUUAUUAGAUUAAUACUCAGUGUUUAC